CAGUAGCCGCGGGAAUACGUAGGGUGCGAGCGUUAAUCGGAAUUACUGGGCGUAAAGCGUGCGCAGGCGGUUCGUUAAGACAGAUGUGAAAUCCCCGGGCUCAACCUGGGACCUGCAUUUGUGACUGUAUAGCUAGAGUACGGUAGAGGGGGAUGGAAUUCCGCGUGUAGCAGUGAAAUGCGUAGAUAUGCGGAGGAACACCGAUGGCGAAGGCAAUCCCCUGGACCUGUACUGACGCUCAUGCACGAAAGCGUGGGGAGCAAACAGGAUUAGAUACCCCGGUAGUCCCUGUCUCUUAUAC
RNAcentral lists this ribosomal RNA (301 nucleotides) under uncultured bacterium. Its description in RNAcentral is "partial 16S ribosomal RNA". It matches the Rfam family "Bacterial small subunit ribosomal RNA", at positions 509 to 807 of the family's 1533-position model. The record is from RNAcentral.